UAGGGAAUCUUCCACAAUGGNGAAGCCUGAUGGAGCAACGCCGCGUGUGUGAUGAAGGGUUUCGGCUCGUAAAACACUGUUGUAAGAGAAGAAUGACAUUGAGAGUAACUGUUCAAUGUGUGACGGUAUCUUACCAGGAAGGAACGGCUAAAUACGUGCCAC
RNAcentral lists this ribosomal RNA (162 nucleotides) under uncultured bacterium. RNAcentral describes it as "partial 16S rRNA". It matches the Rfam family "Bacterial small subunit ribosomal RNA", at positions 355 to 511 of the family's 1533-position model. The record is from RNAcentral.